This 496-nucleotide ribosomal RNA is filed under the name uncultured bacterium. Its description in RNAcentral is "partial 16S ribosomal RNA". It matches the Rfam family "Bacterial small subunit ribosomal RNA", at positions 30 to 522 of the family's 1533-position model. The record is from RNAcentral.
AUUGAACGCUGGCGGCAUGCCUUACACAUGCAAGUCGAACGGUAACAGGUCUUCGGAUGCUGACGAGUGGCGAACGGGUGAGUAAUACAUCGGAACGUGCCUAGUAGUGGGGGAUAACUACUCGAAAGAGUGGCUAAUACCGCAUGAGAUCUACGGAUGAAAGCAGGGGAUCGCAAGACCUUGUGCUACUAGAGCGGCCGAUGGCAGAUUAGGUAGUUGGUGGGAUAAAAGCUUACCAAGCCGACGAUCUGUAGCUGGUCUGAGAGGACGAUCAGCCACACUGGGACUGUGACACGGCCCAGACUCCUACGGGAGGCAGCAGUGGGGAAUUUUGGACAAUGGGCGCAAGCCUGAUCAGCAAUGCCGCGUGCAGGAUGAAGGCCUUCGGGUUGUAAACUGCUUUUGUACGGAACGAAAAGCCCCGGGUUAAUACCCUGGGGUCAUGACGGUACCGUAAGAAUAAGCACCGGCUAACUACGUGCCAGCCGCCGCAGUA